This 1653-nucleotide long non-coding RNA is filed under the name Cercocebus atys (sooty mangabey). RNAcentral's name for it is "lncRNA (ENSCATG00000045653.1)". Lineage: Eukaryota; Metazoa; Chordata; Mammalia; Primates; Cercopithecidae. The record is from RNAcentral.
GGCCUGGCCUAGGCCUCCGCCCCUUCCUCCUCCUCCUCCUCCUCCUCCUCCUCCUCUGUUUCCCCAAAGUUCAGGCAGCCUUAAGCAAGAGGCUGUGGGACCCAGGAAACUGGGGAGGCUGUCCAGCCACCAUCUUGUCCCCACUAAGCAGGCCUAGGCUUGGGCGGUCAUGGAGAGGUCCUAAACAACAACAAAACUAUAAUAAUAAUAAUGAGAAUAAUAAUGAGAAUAGCUAUUAUAGUGGAGUGGCUUCUACGUGCCAGGCAUGCUCUCAUUUAACCACAAAUACAUAAAAAGCACCUCCUGUGUGCCACAUGUGAUUCUCAGACCUUUACUUCAUGUCCCAUCGAAUCCCCACCAACCCUUGUGAAACAGUUUUGUUUUUUUUUUAAUGAUUCCUUUCUUCAGAGUAGGAAACUGAGACUCUGAGAGAUGAAGCUACUUGCCAACGCCACGCAGCUCAGCCACAUCCCACUGAACAUCAUCCUGUUCCCUGGGGUCCUCACAGCACCUCCUGCAAACAGACCUCCGACCCAAGCCCUUCCUUCUGCCUCCACUGCCACCAUUGCUGCUCAUCUCUGCUGGCACAGAAGUCUCGUCCCUGGUCCUCCAGAAAUCCCCUCUCCAUAUUCAGCGAGAGGGAGCUGUUAAAACUGCGGGCCAGCCCACAUCAGUCCCCGGCAAAGUCCUCUCUAAGGGAUCCCGUUGCUUGGAGAAUAAACCCUCGGAUUCCUUCCUUGGCUCUCGGGGCCUCCUCUCUGACCUCCCUCUGUCUCCUCUCCCAGCCUUCCUCCUCACUUACCCUCCAGCCACGCUGGCUUCCUCUUUGCUCCUGAAACAGCCUGAGGCCCACACUGCCGCGGGCCCUUUGCACUGGCUGUUCCCUCUACCUGGAACACUUCUCCCAGGCUUCCACAGGGCUCCCUCCCGCAAUUCCUUCGGGUGCCCACCUGGGAAGCCUUUCCUGACCGCCCCCCACUUCCUUCUGAGCACGGUCGGGUCUUUCUACCUGGUAUAUGAGGGCAGGGAUUUUUGUCUGCUGUGUUCUCUGUGUGCCCCAGUGCCAUCACAGUGUCUGGCAGAUGGUAAGUGCUCGACACACAUUGGCUGACUGCCUGAAUGAACAACUCUAUGGGCUGAUGGCAGUUAAGGACACUGAGGUCCUCUGGGGUAGGUGACCAGCCCAAGGCCACACAGCUGGUUUGAGAUUAGGCCAGGAGAGGAGCCCGGGUUGGUCACAUCCUGGAGCUGGUGUCUUGGAAACUGCAUCAGGAGAAUAACAAAGAUGAGACUCAGGCUCUAACAAGCGGAUACCAGCGACUCUUGCCCCGCCAGCCCCAGCCCUGCGGCCUUGGGCCCUUCCAGGAGUCAUGGUCUGCCUGCCUGGGGCAUUCCAGGCUUCAGCCCAGGUCCUGCGCUUUCUAUUUUGAGCCUCUUAGUCCUGAGGACUGUGUGUUCCCAGCAGGCGGCACGGGCCAGAGGCUGAGCCUGGGUGUGGCUGUCACCCUAUCUGGGGCCAGGGACCCAGAUUCCCGGGCCCUUAACCUGUUGGCUGCUGAGGGCUCUGGCAUAAGCCCUGUUCCCUGCUUGAUUGUCUCCCCUUCAAGCCCCUGCGCUGGUGUCUUCCAGGCAUGGUAUCAGCCCAUCUCACCU